This 1018-nucleotide ribosomal RNA is filed under the name uncultured bacterium. RNAcentral's name for it is "bacterial SSU rRNA". It matches the Rfam family "Bacterial small subunit ribosomal RNA", at positions 355 to 1375 of the family's 1533-position model. The record is from RNAcentral.
UGAGGAAUAUUGGUCAAUGGACGCCAGUCUGAACCAGCCCUGCCCCGUGCAGGAUGACGGCUCUAUGAGUUGUAAACUGCUUUUGUACGAGGGUAAACGCAGAUACGUGUAUCUGUCUGAAAGUAUCGUACGAAUAAGGAUCGGCUAACUCCGUGCCAGCAGCCGCGGUAAUACGGAGGAUUCAAGCGUUAUCCGGAUUUAUUGGGUUUAAAGGGUGCGUAGGCGGUUUGAUAAGUUAGAGGUGAAAUUUCGGGGCUCAACCCUGAACGUGCCUCUAAUACUGUUGAGCUAGAGAGUAGUUGCGGUAGGCGGAAUGUAUGGUGUAGCGGUGAAAUGCUUAGAGAUCAUACAGAACACCGAUUGCGAAGGCAGCUUACCAAACUAUAUCUGACGUUGAGGCACGAAAGCGUGGGGAGCAAACAGGAUUAGAUACCCUGGUAGUCCACGCAGUAAACGAUGAUAACUCGUUGUCGGCGAUACACAGUCGGUGACUAAGCGAAAGCGAUAAGUUAUCCACCUGGGGAGUACGUUCGCAAGAAUGAAACUCAAAGGAAUUGACGGGGGCCCGCACAAGCGGAGGAACAUGUGGUUUAAUUCGAUGAUACGCGAGGAACCUUACCCGGGCUUGAAAGUUAGCGACGAUUCUUGAAAGAGGAUUUCCCUUCGGGGCGUGAAACUAGGUGCUGCAUGGUUGUCGUCAGCUCGUGCCGUGAGGUGUCGGGUUAAGUCCCAUAACGAGCGCAACCCCUACCGUUAGUUGCCAUCAGGUGAAGCUGGGCACUCUGGCGGGACUGCCGGUGUAAGCCGAGAGGAAGGUGGGGAUGACGUCAAAUCAGCACGGCCCUUACGUCCGGGGCUACACACGUGUUACAAUGGUAGGUACAGAGGGCAGCUACCCAGCGAUGGGAUGCGAAUCUCGAAAGCCUAUCUCAGUUCGGAUUGGAGGCUGAAACCCGCCUCCAUGAAGUUGGAUUCGCUAGUAAUCGCGCAUCAGCCAUGGCGCGGUGAAUACGUUCCC